GACAAAUAGUCGGACCUUUUUGUCUCCCAACAAUCUACGAUCGUUCCGAUCGUCUAGGAUCGAACGAGGAUCAUUUCGAAGCUGCGAAGUUGUCCCACAGUGAUCGCUAGUCUGCGGAAUUUUGUGCGAAAUGAAAAUCGUUUGCAUUGGUCGCUGGAAGCAGGAACCAAAAAUUCAUUCUUUCGUGGAUCACUUUAAUAGAUUAAAAAUAAGACAUUGUGAUUUUUUAAGUCUUUCGAUCUCUCUUCUGUUUUAAAUUGCAAUCGCCCGAGACUGUUAUAAAUUGCGAUAACAGGAAUUAUUGCAGUCAAAGUUUAACAGAUUAAAAAUCGGAGAGACAUGUGUGUAGCUCGCAUGUGCAGCGAUUUGGAUACAAGCAAGCCUCUAAAUCGAGCCCGAUCGAUUUUCAACAACAAAAACACUUUAGAACCCACCAGAUGUUGGAAAUCAACGAAUUAAUCCUGACGACCCCGGGCUUGUCAAGCGCGGCAGUGACGGCUUCCGUGACACGAAACACGACACUAAUGAGGUCUAUGUGGGUCAAAUAAAACUGAGAUGUUGUCCUCAACAAAUUCGACAAAGGGAAACUUAAUAAGAUGUUGCGAGAGACCGUGGACUACAAGGAUGCUGUGUACUGAUCCGACUGUCGCCAGGACGAAUCUUUGCGUCUAACAGAGAUUUAAAAAAGAAUAUUCGAAGAUUGCCAGGAGCAGUGUUUUGGCAGAAAAAUUCGUUCGUAUUAUAGUAGCCUUUUCACGACGAAUCGACGAAUGUAUCUCAACCAGAGUUGUGCCAAUACGACUACAUCGUAAUUCGUAAUUGAUGCAAUUCGAUUACAUUGUAAUUCGUAAUUAAUGCA
This is a non-coding RNA of Megalopta genalis, 859 nucleotides long. Lineage: Eukaryota; Metazoa; Arthropoda; Insecta; Hymenoptera; Halictidae. The record is from RefSeq and is a predicted model, not a curated record.